ACCUACGGGGCGCAGCAGUGAGGAAUAUUGGUCAAUGGGAGAGAGACUGAACCAGCCAAGCCGCGUGAGGGAUGAAGGCACUGUGUGUUGUAAACCUCUUUUGUCGGAGAACAAAACCGGGGACGUGUCCCGGACUGCGUGUAUCUGAAGAAAAAGCAUCGGCUAACUCCGUGCCAGCAGCCGCGGUAAUACGGAGGAUGCGAGCGUUAUCCGGAUUUAUUGGGUUUAAAGGGUGCGCAGGCGGUCUGUUAAGUCAGCGGUAAAAGUCCGGGGCUCAACCCCGGCGCGCCGUUGAAACUGGCAGG
This 305-nucleotide ribosomal RNA is filed under the name uncultured bacterium. RNAcentral describes it as "bacterial SSU rRNA". It matches the Rfam family "Bacterial small subunit ribosomal RNA", at positions 337 to 640 of the family's 1533-position model. The record is from RNAcentral.